This 463-nucleotide ribosomal RNA is filed under the name uncultured bacterium. Its description in RNAcentral is "bacterial SSU rRNA". It matches the Rfam family "Bacterial small subunit ribosomal RNA", at positions 335 to 795 of the family's 1533-position model. The record is from RNAcentral.
ACUCCUACGGGAGGCAGCAGUGAGGAAUAUUGGUCAAUGGGCGCAAGCCUGAACCAGCCAUCCCGCGUGCAGGAAGAAGGCCCUAUGGGUUGUAAACUUCUUUUGCAGGGGGAGAAUUUUUUGGUCGUGACAGGGAUUGACGGUACCGUGGGAAUAAGCAUAGGCUAACUCCGUGCCAGCAGCCGCGGUAAUACGGAGGAUGCGAGCGUUAUCCGGAUUCAUUGGGUUUAAAGGGUGCGUAGGCGGAAUAGCAAGUCAGCGGUGAAAGCCUGCAGCUUAACCACAGAAUUGCCAUUGAUACUGAUGUUCUUGAGUUUGGUUAAAGUAGGCGGAAUGUGUAAUGUAGCGGUGAAAUGCUUAGAUAUUACACAGAACACCAAUUGCGUAGGCAGCUUACUAAGCCGAUACUGACGCUGAGGCACGAAAGCGUGGGGAUCAAACAGGAUUAGAUACCCUGGUAGUC